CCUACGGGGGGCAGCAGUGGGGAAUAUUGGGCAAUGGGCGCAAGCCUGACCCAGCAACGCCGCGUGAAGGAAGAAGGCUUUCGGGUUGUAAACUUCUUUUAAGGGGGAAGAGCAGAAGACGGUACCCCUUGAAUAAGCGACGGCUAACUACGUGCCAGCAGCCGCGGUAAUACGUAGGUGGCAAGCGUUGUCCGGAUUUACUGGGUGUAAAGGGCGUGCAGCCGGAGAGACAAGUCAGAUGUGAAAUCCACGGGCUCAACCCGUGAACUGCAUUUGAAACUGUUUCCCUUGAGUGUCGGAGAGGUAAUCGGAAUUCCUAGUGUAGCGGUGAAAUGCGUAGAUAUUAGGAAGAACACCAGUGGCGAAGGCGGAUUACUGGACGAUAACUGACGGUGAGGCGCGAAAGCGUGGGGAGCAAACAGGAUUAGAUACCCUUGUAGUC
This 442-nucleotide ribosomal RNA is filed under the name uncultured bacterium. RNAcentral describes it as "partial 16S ribosomal RNA". It matches the Rfam family "Bacterial small subunit ribosomal RNA", at positions 338 to 795 of the family's 1533-position model. The record is from RNAcentral.